This 584-nucleotide ribosomal RNA is filed under the name uncultured bacterium. Its description in RNAcentral is "bacterial SSU rRNA". It matches the Rfam family "Bacterial small subunit ribosomal RNA", at positions 1 to 624 of the family's 1533-position model. The record is from RNAcentral.
UUCGCCCUUAGAGUUUGAUCCUGGCUCAGAACGAACGCUGGCGGCAGGCUUAACACAUGCAAGUCGAGCGAAGGCUUCGGCCUUACCGGCGGACGGGUGAGUAACGCGUGGGAACGUGCCCCUCUCUAAGGAAUACCCCCGGGAAACUGGGAUUAAUGCCGUAUACCCCCCUCGGGGGAAAGAUUUUUCAGAGAGGGAUCGGCCCGCAUCUGAUUAAGUAGUUGGCGGGGUAACGGAUUACCAAACCCACGAUUAAUACCUGGUUUGACAGAAUGAUCAUCACCCCUGGCACUGAAACACGGCCCAUACUCCUGCGGGAGGCAGCGUUGCGUAAUCUUGAGACAAUGGGGGCAACCCUGAGCUAACCAUGCCUCGUACGUUAAGAACGCCCUACGGCCCUAAAGCUCUUUCACCGGGGAAGAUAAUCACUGUACCCGAAUAAGAAACGCCGGCUAACUCCGGACUCUCGGGCCGCUGUCUUACUCGAGGGGGUGACUCGAUCGUCCUCAAUUACUGGCUACAGAUCGUCCGCAUGCGGAGCCGAUACUUGGGGGUCAAAUCCCUGGACUCAACCCCGAAACUGC